RNAcentral lists this ribosomal RNA (253 nucleotides) under uncultured bacterium. Its description in RNAcentral is "partial 16S ribosomal RNA". It matches the Rfam family "Bacterial small subunit ribosomal RNA", at positions 524 to 776 of the family's 1533-position model. The record is from RNAcentral.
UACGUAGGGGGCAAGCGUUGUCCGGAAUUAUUGGGCGUAAAGAGCGCGUAGGCGGUCCGGUAAGUCGGUUGUGAAAGUCGGGGGCUCAACCCUCGGAUGCCGAUCGAUACUGUCGGGCUAGAGUCCGGAAGAGGCGAGUGGAAUUCCUGGUGUAGCGGUGAAAUGCGCAGAUAUCAGGAGGAACACCGGUGGCGAAGGCGGGUCUCUGGGCAACAACUGACGCUGAGGAGCGAAAGCGUGGGGAGCGAACAGG